CUUAUUCAAACAACCAAAAUUAAAAAUACUGAAAGUUAAAGAAAACUAAAAUUAAACUAAAACUAAAUACAAGAACUAGAGCAAAUAUAACUAGAAUCAAUUAAUCAAAAGUCUAGAACCACAAUAUGCCCUUAAUGUUUCAUUUGAAUUUCUUCCAUUCUCUCUUUACUUACUAGAUAGGCUUGAGCUGUUAACCUAGAGUUAUAAUUUAUUUAUAAGU
This 220-nucleotide long non-coding RNA is filed under the name Theobroma cacao (cacao). Its description in RNAcentral is "long non-coding RNA (TCAC_LNC000467)". The record is from RNAcentral. Lineage: Eukaryota; Viridiplantae; Streptophyta; Magnoliopsida; Malvales; Malvaceae.